UGGGGAAUUUUGGACAAUUGGGGAAACCCUGAUCCAGCCAUCCCGCGUGUGCGAUGAAGGCCUUCGGGUUGUAAAGCACUUUUGGCAUGAAAGAAACGUCAUGGGUUAAUACCCCGUGAAACUGACGGUACCUGCAGAAUAAGCACCGGCUAACUACGUGCCAGCAGCCGCGGUAAUACGUAGGGUGCAAGCGUUAAUCGGAAUUACUGGGCGUAAAGCGUGCGCAGGCGGUUCGGAAAGAAAGAUGUAAAAUCCCAGAGCUCAACUUUGGAACUGCAUUUUGAACUGCCGGGCUAGAGUGUGUCGGAGGGAGGAGGAAUUCCGCGUGUAGCAGUGAAAGGCGUAGAUAUGCGGAGGAACAACGAUGGCGAAGGCAGCCUCCUGGUAUAACACUGACGCUCAUGCACGAAAGCGUGGGGAGCAAACAGG
RNAcentral lists this ribosomal RNA (429 nucleotides) under Acidobacteriota bacterium. RNAcentral's name for it is "Acidobacteria bacterium partial 16S ribosomal RNA". It matches the Rfam family "Bacterial small subunit ribosomal RNA", at positions 355 to 776 of the family's 1533-position model. Lineage: Bacteria; Pseudomonadati; Acidobacteriota. The record is from RNAcentral.